GUUCUAGGCCUGGGGCUGGUGAAGAGGUUCUGGGAGGGCAGAUGGCUCUCAGGUGCAGCAGGUCCUUGGCUCCCCAGAUCAAUAGCCAUGUGAGGAAGCCAAGGCCCCCACCUCCCCAUUUCCCUUCCAGGUGUCAGAGGCUGUGAGGAGCAUUCAUAACCACCUGGACUCCAUCAGCGAGCCACUUGCCCGGCAGGAGCUGCGCAGGGCCCUUCUCCUGCUGGGCUACCGGUUCAGCGAGGAGGUGGUCAGAACCCUGCUGGGCUGCUCACUGUCAUGUGACAGUGUUGCUGCGGAGAUGUGGAAGAUGCUGACAUCCCAGCCCAAGACCACAAGAAAGAUCCUUGGGGAGCUGGUCAGCAGGCUGCAGGAGCCGGCUCGGCGACGGCAUCAGCUCUCUGAGAGACCGGCUGGCUUCCCCCGCUUGGCCGGCCAUGGUUUCGCUCAAUUUCCAGGAGCGAAACUGGAUUUUCCACCAUCUCAUGGCCAUCCUCAACGAUCGGGACGAUAGGCGGUACGUCCCGGCCGUGGCGCUCUUCAUUCAGCUCCUCCAGUGCCCUGACCUUGGCAACGAGCUGGAAGACGCCAUCGUGGAGGAGAUGAGCAGGCAGCUGAGAGACCCCCAGACCGUGGUGCGCUGGUUGGCGCUCAAAGGCCUCCUCAAUCUGGCCCUUCUCCCAGAGAAGGUGAGAGGGGAGGAGGGCUGGGGGAUAAACCCAGAACCGCAGGGAGCUGCUGCAGGGCUGGGGUCAUUGAAACCUUCCCGGGGGUAUGGCCCUGGCCUGGAGUCAGGAGCCCUGGCUUCUAUUCCUGGCUCUGCCACUGACCUGCGGGGUGCCCUUGGGCAAGCCCCUGCCUGG
Mauremys reevesii (Reeves's turtle) is the source of this 860-nucleotide long non-coding RNA. RefSeq lists it as uncharacterized. NCBI's taxonomy places the organism in Eukaryota, Metazoa, Chordata, Testudines, Geoemydidae. The transcript is spliced from 4 exons. The record is from RefSeq and is a predicted model, not a curated record.